GGGCGACGGUUGUCCCGGUUUAAGCAUGUAGGCUGGUUAUCCAGGCAAAUCCGGAUAAUCAAGGCUGAGGUGUGAUGACGAGGCACUACGGUGCUGAAGUAACAAAUGCCCUGCUUCCAGGAAAAGCCUCUAAGCAUCAGGUAACAUCAAAUCGUACCCCAAACCGACACAGGUGGUCAGGUAGAGAAUACCAAGGCGCUUGAGAGAACUCGGGUGAAGGAACUAGGCAAAAUGGUGCCGUAACUUCGGGAGAAGGCACGCUGGUGUGUAGGUGAAGUCCCUGCGGAUGGAGCUGAGACCAGUCGAAGAUACCAGCUGGCUGCAACUGUUUAUUAAAAACACAGCACUGUGCAAACACGAAAGUGGACGUAUACGGUGUGACGCCUGCCCGGUGCCGGAAGGUUAAUUGAUGGGGUUAUCCGUAAGGAGAAGCUCUUGAUCGAAGCCCCGGUAAACGGCGGCCGUAACUAUAACGGUCCUAAGGUAGCGAAAUUCCUUGUCGGGUAAGUUCCGACCUGCACGAAUGGCGUAAUGAUGGCCAGGCUGUCUCCACCCGAGACUCAGUGAAAUUGAACUCGCUGUGAAGAUGCAGUGUACCCGCGGCAAGACGGAAAGACCCCGUGAACCUUUACUAUAGCUUGACACUGAACAUUGAGCCUUGAUGUGUAGGAUAGGUGGGAGGCUUUGAAGCGUGGACGCCAGUCUGCGUGGAGCCAACCUUGAAAUACCACCCUUUAAUGUUUGAUGUUCUAACGUUGGCCCCUGACCGGGGUUGCGGACAGUGUCUGGUGGGUAGUUUGACUGGGGCGGUCUCCUCCCAAAGCGUAACGGAGGAGCACGAAGGUUAGCUAAUCCUGGUCGGACAUCAGGAGGUUAGUGCAAUGGCAUAAGCUAGCUUGACUGCGAGCGUGACGGCGCGAGCAGGUGCGAAAGCAGGUCAUAGUGAUCCGGUGGUUCUGAAUGGAAGGGCCAUCGCUCAACGGAUAAAAGGUACUCCGGGGAUAACAGGCUGAUACCGCCCAAGAGUUCAUAUCGACGGCGGUGUUUGGCACCUCGAUGUCGGCUCAUCACAUCCUGGGGCUGAAGUAGGUCCCAAGGGUAUGGCUGUUCGCCAUUUAAAGUGGUACGCGAGCUGGGUUUAGAACGUCGUGAGACAGUUCGGUCCCUAUCUGCCGUGGGCGCUGGAGAAUUGAGGGGGGCUGCUCCUAGUACGAGAGGACCGGAGUGGACGCAUCACUGGUGUUCGGGUUGUCAUGCCAAUGGCACUGCCCGGUAGCUAAAUGCGGAAGAGAUAAGUGCUGAAAGCAUCUAAGCACGAAACUUGCCCCGAGAUGAGUUCUCCCUGAGACUUUAAGUCUCCUGAAGGAACGUUAAAGACGAUGACGUUGAUAGGCCGGGUGUGUAAGCGCAGCGAUGCGUUGAGCUAACCGGUACUAAUGAACCGUGAGGCUUAACCUUACAACGCCGAAGAUGUUUUG
This 1478-nucleotide ribosomal RNA is filed under the name Klebsiella pneumoniae. RNAcentral describes it as "Large Subunit Ribosomal RNA; lsuRNA; LSU rRNA". It matches the Rfam family "Bacterial large subunit ribosomal RNA", at positions 1493 to 2925 of the family's 2925-position model. The record is from RNAcentral. RNAcentral also lists the same sequence under 1 other name. Lineage: Bacteria; Pseudomonadati; Pseudomonadota; Gammaproteobacteria; Enterobacterales; Enterobacteriaceae.